Molecule: long non-coding RNA, 255 nt
Filed under: Gossypium barbadense (sea-island cotton)
Lineage: Eukaryota; Viridiplantae; Streptophyta; Magnoliopsida; Malvales; Malvaceae
Description: long non-coding RNA (GBAR_LNC008121)
Source: RNAcentral
GGUAGCUUAAAGUGCAUAUUGUAAAUGGUCUUGUGAUAUGUUUAACUGUGGUGGUUUGAUACAUUUGUUAUGGAUGACAUAUAUAGCUAAAGGUGUUACUUGAUAAAUGGAACAUUUGGUACCAUUUGGUGUAUUAUUGAUAGGUAAAUCAAAUGAUAUGUUUUUUUAUAUGUAACCUUAGUUUGCAGUUAGUGAACAUUUUGGCAAAAUUGAAUAUAUUAUUAUAUAUGUGUAGUUAUUGAGAUUGAGCUGCCC